AAGAGAUGAUCCUUCAGAAAACAAACGUAGAAGAGUAGCAGUACCGUUGAAUGUUGAGAAGUGUCAAGAGCAGCUUCAGUCUUAUUACGACACCUUCAGUAAGGUGAAAGUCGUUCCACGAUAAAGGGAUCGCAAAGGGAAUGUCAAACCUGAAGAAGAAUGGCCAACAGAUGAAUACUGGAGAAAAAGUUGGAGCUUCGUCCAUGGAUCAGAGCAAGAACCAGAUCCUGGGUCAGUUACCAACUCAGGUGACGAGGAGGAACCUCGGUCCUGCCUGGAAACAUAACUGACCAGGACUGGCUCAGUAGACCGCCUGUAACUAGUGAAACUUACCAUUGGUCAGAACUGGCUGGCCAGACCAGUCCAUCCAUUGAGAGAAUUCUUUCAGAUCUGUUCAGUAAGAGAAGUCAAUACCUAAAUUGUAUUGACUGUAUUGAAAUUUGAAAACAAGUUUGGGAAACCUGACUAGACAAGGCACAUUUGAAGAUGAUUGGUUGGUCUGGUAGGUUUCUGACUAAUCGUGAGAGACUUCAUUGUUGUGAUCAAAUAAACAAACAAUCAACGGUUGGAUAAAAAAUGAGGAAAUAAAUAUUUUAGAAUCACUUAGCUUAGGUAAAUUGGUACCCUCACCAAAAUGGGGACUCCCUUCCACAACAUCGGUGAGAACAUGUGGGAUGUUUCUCUGGAGUCAGAGUGUAUUGUCCUUGAAAUUGAUCGUUGAUUUGGAUAUAUUUUGAUUUUAGGCUAUUUUACGAUGUUCCCUUAUGUUGGUUGUAGUUUUGAUUUACAGCUUUGAGUUUCAAAACUUAAUUUUCAUGUUACUGAGUUAGAGACUCUGAGGUAUUUUUGUCAUUUUUCUUUUUUAAUUUACUUUGGUUGGUUUUUUCCUGCCCAGAUAAUUGAUUACUUCAUCAGGCUGACUGUGCAGAUAAUUCUCUCAUUUCUAUUGAUUAAAAAAGAGAAGUCAUGAAUGCAGCCAAUCUCCAUAAAAUAUUAAAUAUUUUAAUGUGGCAAAGAGCAAAACCUCAAUGUUUGAUGGAAGUCUUCACUAAAAGCCAAAAACGUGAAGAUAAAUUUCGUGAUUUAGGAUCGGUAUUUUUAUUUUCAUGGCGUUCGCCAUGCUGUGAACAAAUUUAGCUGAUUUGUUAAUACAGAACAGGCUUCUGAUUGCCUUAAUUUCCAAACAUUCCAUUUGAGAUUAAUGUAAAUAGUGCAAUGUGGUUGACAUUUCGUCGUCAAAGCUUUUAAAACUCUGUUGAGUGUGGCAAAAGAAGAGAGACUGUGUUUGACAAGUAUUUCCUUGACUCUGAAAUGUAAAAUAAUUUAACUCAGUAUUGUAUUGGUUGUUCUCUCAAAACUGUCAAGCGAGUGACAGUUAAGUUAUAGUGCUAUUGUGGCUGUACACUGUGCACAUUGUAAGAUACGAACUCUAUCUCGUGAUUUUUAUAUAUUGAGUCAUUAAUGCUGAUUUUUCAGGGAUAAGCCCUGUUUUCAAGUGCUCAGUUUUGCAACUGUCCAUGGUGAACUAAACUAAUUUAUAUUAAAUUAGAAAAAACGAAACCCCUGUGAGUGCUGUGAUGUCAGUAAAGGUCAUCACCACGAACCAACUAGAUCAUUAGGUUUCAUCCACACUGUUGUGACUGGCUGCUUCAGGCCCGCUCUGUUUAUACAACUGCUGAAUUGAAUUUACAUGCUCCAAUUGAUCAAAUAGAAGAGGAUUACUGUAUUGAUGGGAGGACAGUCCAUGGAAAGUUACCCACCCUUCCCCCC
This is a non-coding RNA of Pocillopora verrucosa, 1770 nucleotides long. Lineage: Eukaryota; Metazoa; Cnidaria; Anthozoa; Scleractinia; Pocilloporidae. The record is from RefSeq and is a predicted model, not a curated record.